UACUCCCGCCGGCGACCGGCGCACGGGUGAGUAACACGUAUGAAACCUGCCCGUAGCGAGGGGAUAAGCGGAAGAAAUUCCGUCUAAUACCGCGUAACAACCCGAGGAGGCAUCUCCUCGGGUUUAAAGGAAGCGAUUCCGGCUACGGAUGGUCAUGCGUCGCAUUAGCUAGUUGGCGGGGUAACGGCCCACCAAGGCGACGAUGCGUAGGGGUUCUGAGAGGAAGGUCCCCCACACUGGUACUGAGACACGGACCAGACUCCUACGGGAGGCAGCAG
This 278-nucleotide ribosomal RNA is filed under the name uncultured bacterium. RNAcentral describes it as "partial 16S ribosomal RNA". It matches the Rfam family "Bacterial small subunit ribosomal RNA", at positions 80 to 354 of the family's 1533-position model. The record is from RNAcentral.